Molecule: long non-coding RNA, 1349 nt
Organism: Rosa rugosa (rugosa rose)
Lineage: Eukaryota; Viridiplantae; Streptophyta; Magnoliopsida; Rosales; Rosaceae
Exons: 7
Source: RefSeq, a predicted model, not a curated record
CAGGUAGUGUAAUGAGUAAACGCUCUCGUGUGCAAACUACUGAUCAGCCAUGCCAAAAUUCUGUAGAAGAUGGACUUAAUUCUGCUAUUGGUACCACUACAGAACGAACUACUACGGGAAUCAGAAUUAGUUCACGUCUUCAGCAUCAAACUGCGAAUGAUCAGCUAUUGAUAAAUGUUACAACUGAAGAGCGAAAUGAUAAUGUGAUGUCAGCCAAUAAUCAAGAGCCUCCUACAGGUCCAACAAAAAAGGUGCGGGGAAAGACAAGAGGAGUGAAUGCAGAUAAGGUGUUUUCUCAAUUGAAUGCUAAAAUACCUGUCACUCUGACUGAACAAAAUGGCAGACCUACAGGCCCAUAUGCUGAAAUGUUGGCCAAUGAAUUGGUUUCACAGUUCGAAACCAUGCCCCACUAAAUGUGGAAAAAUGGAAGAAGAUUCCGAAAAUUGAAGUGGAUAAGUUGAUUAAAAGAAUAACGAACAAGUUUGACAUUGACAUGUCUCUUCCUUGGGUCGAGAGAUAUGUAAUUACAACAUGUCAGACUGUAUUUUGUAAUUUUCGUUAUAAGUUGAAGAAACAUUUUGAGAAAUUUUCAACAAUUGAGGAAGCAAUUGAAAACAAACACGAUGAUGUCAAGACUCAGGAAGAAUGGGAGUUUCUCUGUGCUCGUUUUUCUAGUGAAAAGUUUCAGAUUCGUUCAGAAAAGAAUGCUAUAAAUAGGUCAAAGUUGACACAUCACCACAAAUCUGGGUCAAAGUCAUUUAUGUCUCACCAAGAGCAAAUUGCAGCACAGACUGGAGAGAUGCAAAGUGCAAUUUAUCGCUUUGAAACAGAGUACAAAAGCACUAAAAAAGGUUGGCUUGGGAGCAAAAGAAAAGUGGGAUGAAAUGAUUAAGAUGCGAACUGAGACAACUCAACUUGAUGGAACUCGGACAAUGACAGAUGAUGAAAUUUGUGCAAAAGUACUCGGAGUCAAAUCAGGCUACAUCAAGGGUUGUGGUUUUGGCCCUAGACCUCCACCAUUAAGGGUCUCUCAUUUGUCGAUAAAUGAAAUGUCUGAAAAGAACAAAGAGUUGCAAGAACAGCUUCAGGAGACCCAACACCUUGUAGGGACUCAACAACAAAAGAUUGAUGCACAAAAUGAGGUGAUCCAAAGAUUGGAGGAGCAAGCCAAAAAGUUUGACGAGUUUAUGGCUAACUUUUCCAGGCAACAUCCAUCAAGUUAGUAUCUUUAUUAGAGAACUUAAACAUGGAGAAAUGAUUUUUAGAUCAUCUUGAUUUUGUUAUUGGUUUUAGACUAUUUUUGUUACUCCUUAUGUUAGAGAACACUUUGAUUGUUAUUUUGGUUUUAU